Molecule: non-coding RNA, 86 nt
Organism: Panaeolus papilionaceus
Lineage: Eukaryota; Fungi; Basidiomycota; Agaricomycetes; Agaricales
Source: the annotation of a GenBank genome assembly
UCGGAUAUGGUGUAACGGCUAACAUUGCCGCCUCUCAUCAUUUGAGUGUCUCGCGGCAGCUCGGGGUUCGAUUCCCCGUAUCCGAA